RNAcentral lists this signal recognition particle RNA (96 nucleotides) under Pseudomonadota bacterium. RNAcentral's name for it is "Proteobacteria bacterium signal recognition particle sRNA small type". It matches the Rfam family "Bacterial small signal recognition particle RNA". From Rfam's summary of the family: The signal recognition particle (SRP) is a universally conserved ribonucleoprotein involved in the co-translational targeting of proteins to membranes. Lineage: Bacteria; Pseudomonadati; Pseudomonadota. The record is from RNAcentral.
UGUCGGUCCCCUCGCGACGUAAAACGGUAAACUCCGUCAGGCCUGGAAGGGAGCAGCGGUAGUCGUGGCGCGGGUGCCGAGGUGCGGCUGGCACUG